RNAcentral lists this transfer RNA (70 nucleotides) under Aenigmachanna gollum. RNAcentral describes it as "tRNA-Tyr". It matches the Rfam family "tRNA". Rfam says of the family: Transfer RNA (tRNA) molecules are approximately 80 nucleotides in length. Their secondary structure includes four short double-helical elements and three loops (D, anti-codon, and T loops). The record is from RNAcentral. Lineage: Eukaryota; Metazoa; Chordata; Actinopteri; Anabantiformes; Aenigmachannidae.
GGUAGAAUGGCUGAAUUUUAAGCGGUGGAUUGUAGCCCCACAUAUAGAGGUUCAAAUCCUCUUUUUACCA